This 73-nucleotide transfer RNA is filed under the name Danionella translucida. It matches the Rfam family "tRNA". Rfam says of the family: Transfer RNA (tRNA) molecules are approximately 80 nucleotides in length. The record is from Rfam by way of RNAcentral. RNAcentral also lists the same sequence under 1 other name. Lineage: Eukaryota; Metazoa; Chordata; Actinopteri; Cypriniformes; Danionidae.
GUUUCCGUAGUGUAGUGGUCAUCACGUUAGCCUUACACGCAAAAGGUCCCCAGUUCGAUACUGGGCGGAAACU